ACAAUGCCACACAGUUCCCACCACCAGAACUCCAUAUCCCAUCUCCUCUUCUGAUAGCUUUCCUAUUUUUUAUCCCUCUGGGAGUAUGGACCCAGGGUCAUUAUGGGGUGCAGAAGGUGGGAGGUCUGGCUUCUGUAAUUGUUUCCCCUCUGAACAUGGGUGUUGAAAGGUCAAUCCAUACUCCCAGUCUGUCUCUCUAUUUCCCUAGUGGGGCAGGGCUCUGGGGAAGCGGGGCUCCAGGACAUAUUGGUGAGGUCAUCUGCCCAGAGAGGUCCGCUUGACAUCAUGUUAGUAUCUGGAGCCUGUUGGCUGAAAAAAGAGUUAACAUAUAAAGUCAAACAAAUUGUUGACUAGUCAUGAACCUAAAGGCCGGGAUGGUUUGUAUGAAUAGUUGGGUGGGGGGGUCUCAAUAGUUAGUAGUCCUAUUUUAGUUAUAUUCCAAAGGGCUCAUGACUAAUACUAGUUUUUUUUUUUUUACCUGAGCCUGACAUAUGAUAUGCAGGUGGAUCUAAGUUUUUGUCUGGAGAGAUGAUGUCAUGGCUGGAAAAAGGACCAGAAACCUGGAUCAGGGAAGAGAGUUGCUGACGCUCACGUGGAGUGGCUCCAACCAGGAGGUCUUUCUACUUGCUUGCUGCAUAUACUGACUCACUGCAGACUAUUGUGCACUUUUUCUUUCAGAAAGAUGUACAGUGGAAAAGACUUCUUCAACAAGAGGAUAUAAUUUUCACAAAGGAGGGAAGACCAGUGUUAUAUAAAUAUAUAUAUGUUAUAUAUUUACAUGUUUAAAACAAAUAAACCUGUUUUAAUUUUAA
Long non-coding RNA from Erinaceus europaeus (western European hedgehog), 812 nucleotides. RefSeq lists it as uncharacterized. The transcript is spliced from 3 exons. The record is from RefSeq and is a predicted model, not a curated record. Lineage: Eukaryota; Metazoa; Chordata; Mammalia; Eulipotyphla; Erinaceidae.